GAGUGAAGCGGCAACAGCUCAAAUUUGAAAUCUGGCCCUCUCGGGGGUCCGAGUUGUAAUUUGCAGAGGGUGCUUUGGCGUCGGCUGUGGUCCAAGUUCCUUGGAACAGGACGUCGCAGAGGGUGAGAAUCCCGUAUGUGGCCGCCAGCCUUCGCCGUGUAAAGCCCCUUCGACGAGUCGAGUUGUUUGGGAAUGCAGCUCUAAAUGGGAGGUAAAUUUCUUCUAAGGCUAAAUAUCUGCCAGAGACCGAUAGCGCACAAGUAGAGUGAUCGAAAGAUGAAAAGCACUUUGGAAAGAGAGUCAAAAAGCACGUGAAAUUGUUGAAAGGGAAGCGCUUGCAGGUAGACGUGCCGUCAGUUGCUCAGUCGGGCUCUUCAGCCCGGUGCACUCUUCUGUCGGCAGGCCAGCAUCAGUCUGGGCGGUCGGAUAAAUGCCUAUUAAACGUGACUCCCCUCGGGGAGAGCUUAUAGGGUGGGCGCCAUGCGACCAGCCUGGACUGAGGUCCGCGCAUCUGCUAGGAUGCUGGCGUAAUAGCUGCAAGCGGCCCGUCUUGAAACACGGACCAAGGAGUCUAACAUUUAUGCGAGUGUUUGGGUGUCAAGCCCGGGCGCGUAAUGAAAGUGAACGGAGGUGGGAUCCCUUCGGGGUGCACCAUCGACCGAUCCUGAUGUCUUCGGAUGGAUUUGAGUAAGAGCAUAGCUGUUGGGACCCGAAAGAUGGUGAACUAUGCCUGAAUAGGGUGAAGCCAGAGGAAACUCUGGUGGAGGCUCGCAGCGGUUCUGACGUGCAAAUCGAUCGUCAAAU
Molecule: ribosomal RNA, 804 nt
Filed under: Lophiostomataceae sp.
Lineage: Eukaryota; Fungi; Ascomycota; Dothideomycetes; Pleosporales; Lophiostomataceae
Description: partial large subunit ribosomal RNA
Rfam family: Eukaryotic large subunit ribosomal RNA
Source: RNAcentral